GAACGGCGUAGCUCAGCUUGGCAGAGCGCUCGGCGCCCGGGCCGCCCGUGGGCGCGCCCACUGAAGGAGAGGCCGCGGGUUCAAAUCCCGUCGCGUUCCCCA
This 102-nucleotide transfer RNA is filed under the name Actinacidiphila acididurans. RNAcentral's name for it is "Streptomyces acididurans tRNA-Gln". It matches the Rfam family "tRNA". Rfam says of the family: Transfer RNA (tRNA) molecules are approximately 80 nucleotides in length. Their secondary structure includes four short double-helical elements and three loops (D, anti-codon, and T loops). Further hydrogen bonds mediate the characteristic L-shaped molecular structure. tRNAs have two regions of fundamental functional importance: the anti-codon, which is responsible for specific mRNA codon recognition, and the 3' end, to which the tRNAs corresponding amino acid is attached (by aminoacyl-tRNA synthetases). tRNAs cope with the degeneracy of the genetic code in two manners: having more than one tRNA (with a specific anti-codon) for a particular amino acid; and 'wobble' base-pairing, i.e. permitting non-standard base-pairing at the 3rd anti-codon position. Lineage: Bacteria; Bacillati; Actinomycetota; Actinomycetes; Kitasatosporales; Streptomycetaceae. The record is from RNAcentral.